This 492-nucleotide ribosomal RNA is filed under the name uncultured bacterium. RNAcentral's name for it is "partial 16S ribosomal RNA". It matches the Rfam family "Bacterial small subunit ribosomal RNA", at positions 29 to 507 of the family's 1533-position model. The record is from RNAcentral.
AGUGAACGCUGGCGGUAGGCCUAACACAUGCAAGUCGAACGGCAGCACAGUAAGAGCUUGCGCUUACGUGUGGCGAGUGGCGGAAGGGUGAGGAAUACAUCGGAAUCUACUUUUUCGUUGGGGAUAACGUAGGGAAACUUAGGCUAAUACCGCAUACGACGUACGGGUGAAAGCAGGGGAUGGUCGGACCUUGCGCGGUUGAAUGAGCCGAUGUCGGAUUAGCUAGUUGGCGGGGUAAAGGCCCACCAAGGCGACGAUCCGUAGCUGGUCUGAGAGGAUGGUCACCCACACUGGAACUGAGAAACGGUCCAGACACCGACGGGAGGCAGCAGUCGGGAAUAUUGGACAAUGGGCGCAAGCCUGAUCCAGCCAUACCGCGUGGGUGAAGAAGGCCUUCGGGUUGUAAAGCCCUUUUGUUGGGAGAGAAAAGCAGCAGUUUAAUACCCCGCUGUUCUGACGGUACCCAAAGAAUAAGCACCGGCUAACUUCGUG